Molecule: ribosomal RNA, 388 nt
Filed under: uncultured bacterium
Lineage: Bacteria
Description: bacterial SSU rRNA
Rfam family: Bacterial small subunit ribosomal RNA
Source: RNAcentral
AUUGAACGCUGGCGGUAUGCUUAACACAUGCAAGUCGAACGGUAGCAGGCCUUCGGGCGCUGACGAGUGGCGGACGGGUGAGUAACGCGUAGGAAUCUGCCUCAUAGUGGGGGGACAACGUGGGGAAACUCACGCUAAUACCGCAUACGCCCUACGGGGGAAAGCGGGGGAUCUUCGGACCUCGCGCUAUGAGAUGAGCCUGCGUUAGAUUAGCUAGUUGGUAGGGUAAAGGCCUACCAAGGCGACGAUCUAUAGCUGGUCUGAGAGGACGAUCAGCCACACUGGGACUGAGACACGGCCCAGACUCCUACGGGAGGCAGCAGUGGGGAAUAUUGGACAAUGGGCGCAAGCCUGAUCCAGCAAUACCGCGUGUGUGAAGAAGGCCUUA